RNAcentral lists this ribosomal RNA (315 nucleotides) under uncultured Glomeromycotina. RNAcentral describes it as "eukaryotic LSU rRNA". Lineage: Eukaryota; Fungi; Glomeromycota. The record is from RNAcentral.
GAUUAUGUGGAGCGUGAGGAGCUAAACACCUUCAUGCCUGCGUAUUCGUGCACUUUGGGUGUACUUGCCCGCAUGGUUGGUUAACAUCAAUUUCGGAAGCCAUAAAAUGGUUGGAGGAAUGUGGCUUCGACCUCGGUUGAAGUGUUAUAGCCUUCAGCAGAUGUGGUGAUCGAGAUUGAGGAUUGCAACGGAUACCCUUCGGGGCUACCUGUCUGAUCUCUGAUCGUUACUCUGGUGUCGAAAGCGUGCUUACGGUCAUCAAAGUUGAUGGUCAACAGGUUAGAAUGGGUUAAAUUCGUUAAGGAUGUUGACGUA